This 316-nucleotide ribosomal RNA is filed under the name Dendropsophus leucophyllatus (Bereis' treefrog). RNAcentral's name for it is "partial 12S small subunit ribosomal RNA". The record is from RNAcentral. Lineage: Eukaryota; Metazoa; Chordata; Amphibia; Anura; Hylidae.
AGUGCCGAGUUAAAGGAAGCAUACUGGUCUUCUUUUACUUCUAAAUCCGCCUUCUAACUAGGUUUCAUAAUAGUUUUUCGUAUGGUCUAAAGUAGAUAGUGUAGCCCAUCUCUUUCCACUUCAUAUGCUGCACCUUGACCUGACGUGUUGACGCAAGGGCAUUAAGCUCACUAGUUAGCGCUCACGGGGUAAGCUGACGACGGAGGUAUACAGGCUGAUAGACUAAAAGUGGUGAGGUAAAACGGGGGUUAUCGAUUAUAGGACAGGCUCCUCUAGGUGGAUUUGGGGUACCGUCAAGUCCCUUGGGUUUUAAGCU